GUAGGUGGCAAGCGUUGUCCGGAAUUAUUGGGCGUAAAGCGCGCGCAGGCGGUCCUUUAAGUCUGAUGUGAAAGCCCACGGCUCAACCGAGGAGGGUCAUUGGAAACUGGGGGACUUGAGUGCAGAAGAGGAGAGUGGAAUUCCACGUGUAGCGGUGAAAUGCGUAGAGAUGUGGAGGAACACCAGUGGCGAAGGCGACUCUCUGGUCUGUAACUGACGCUGAGGCGCGAAAGCGUGGGGGAGCGAACAGGAUUAGAUACCCUGGUAGUCCACGCCGUAAACGAUGAGUGCUAAGUGUUAGAGGGUUUCCGCCCCCUUUAGUGCUGCAGCUAACGCAUUAAGCACCCCCGCCUGGGAGUACGGUCGCAAGCUG
RNAcentral lists this ribosomal RNA (373 nucleotides) under uncultured organism. Its description in RNAcentral is "partial 16S ribosomal RNA". It matches the Rfam family "Bacterial small subunit ribosomal RNA", at positions 527 to 896 of the family's 1533-position model. The record is from RNAcentral.